UUAACUAUUAUAUAGUACUCAGACAUCACUAAACAAAAGAGUUUGGAUCCUCUGGCAGGCGCGGUCAGCGUGAGCCGACGCCCGGAGGCGGCCUGCCAAAGCAACAAAGGUAUGUAUACACGGUUUGGGAAUAGAACCCAUUUCGAAAAACGGGGCAUUCUUUAAUGAUCCUUCCGCAGGUUCACCUACGGAAA
RNAcentral lists this unclassified non-coding RNA (194 nucleotides) under uncultured fungus. Its description in RNAcentral is "sequence contains ITS1, 5.8S rRNA gene". Lineage: Eukaryota; Fungi. The record is from RNAcentral.